GUAUUGAUUGGUGCUUGCAUCAUGAUUUACAUUUGAGUGAGUGGCGAACUGGUGAGUAACACGUGGGAAACCUGCCCAGAAGCGGGGGAUAACACCUGGAAACAGAUGCUAAUACCGCAUAACAACUUGGACCGCAUGGUCCGAGUUUGAAAGAUGGCUUCGGCUAUCACUUUUGGAUGGUCCCGCGGCGUAUUAGCUAGAUGGUGGGGUAACGGCUCACCAUGGCAAUGAUACGUAGCCGACCUGAGAGGGUAAUCGGCCACAUUGGGACUGAGACACGGCCCAAACUCCUACGGGAGGCAGCAGUAGGGAAUCUUCCACAAUGGACGAAAGUCUGAUGGAGCAACGCCGCGUGAGUGAAGAAGGGUUUCGGCUCGUAAAACUCUGUUGUUAAAGAAGAACAUAUCUGAAAGUAACUGUUCAGGUAUUGACGGUAUUUAACCAGAAAGCCACGGCUAACUACGUGCCAGCAGCCGCGGUAAUACGUAGGUGGCAAGCGUUGUCCGGAUUUAUUGGGCGUAAAGCGAGCGCAGGCGGUUUUUUAAGUCUGAUGUGAAAGCCUUCGGCUCAACCGAAGAAGUGCAUCGGAAACUGGGAAACUUGAGUGCAGAAGAGGACAGUGGAACUCCAUGUGUAGCGGUGAAAUGCGUAGAUAUAUGGAAGAACACCAGUGGCGAAGGCGGCUGUCUGGUCUGUAACUGACGCUGAGGCUCGAAAGUAUGGGUAGCAAACAGGAUUAGAUACCCUGGUAGUCCAUACCGUAAACGAUGAAUGCUAAGUGUUGGAGGGUUUCCGCCCUUCAGUGCUGCAGCUAACGCAUUAAGCAUUCCGCCUGGGGAGUACGGCCGCAAGGCUGAAACUCAAAGGAAUUGACGGGGGCCCGCACAAGCGGUGGAGCAUGUGGUUUAAUUCGAAGCUACGCGAAGAACCUUACCAGGUCUUGACAUACUAUGCAAAUCUAAGAGAUUAGACGUUCCCUUCGGGGACAUGGAUACAGGUGGUGCAUGGUUGUCGUCAGCUCGUGUCGUGAGAUGUUGGGUUAAGUCCCGCAACGAGCGCAACCCUUAUUAUCAGUUGCCAGCAUUAAGUUGGGCACUCUGGUGAGACUGCCGGUGACAAACCGGAGGAAGGUGGGGAUGACGUCAAAUCAUCAUGCCCCUUAUGACCUGGGCUACACACGUGCUACAAUGGAUGGUACAACGAGUUGCGAACUCGCGAGAGUAAGCUAAUCUCUUAAAGCCAUUCUCAGUUCGGAUUGUAGGCUGCAACUCGCCUACAUGAAGUCGGAAUCGCUAGUAAUCGCGGAUCAGCAUGCCGCGGUGAAUACGUUCCCGGGCCUUGUACACACCGCCCGUCACACCAUGAGAGUUUGUAACACCCAAAGUCGGU
RNAcentral lists this ribosomal RNA (1389 nucleotides) under Lactiplantibacillus plantarum. RNAcentral describes it as "bacterial SSU rRNA". It matches the Rfam family "Bacterial small subunit ribosomal RNA", at positions 64 to 1431 of the family's 1533-position model. The record is from RNAcentral. Lineage: Bacteria; Bacillati; Bacillota; Bacilli; Lactobacillales; Lactobacillaceae.